RNAcentral lists this ribosomal RNA (465 nucleotides) under Vreelandella stevensii. RNAcentral describes it as "partial 16S ribosomal RNA". It matches the Rfam family "Bacterial small subunit ribosomal RNA", at positions 338 to 795 of the family's 1533-position model. Lineage: Bacteria; Pseudomonadati; Pseudomonadota; Gammaproteobacteria; Oceanospirillales; Halomonadaceae. The record is from RNAcentral.
CCUACGGGGGGCAGCAGUGGGGAAUAUUGGACAAUGGGGGCAACCCUGAUCCAGCCAUGCCGCGUGUGUGAAGAAGGCCCUCGGGUUGUAAAGCACUUUCAGUGAGGAAGAACGCCUGGUGGUUAAUACCCAUCAGGAAAGACAUCACUCACAGAAGAAGCACCGGCUAACUCCGUGUCAGCAGCCGCGGUAAUACGGAGGGUGCGAGCGUUAAUCGGAAUUACUGGGCGUAAAGCGCGCGUAGGUGGCUUGAUAAGCCGGUUGUGAAAGCCCCGGGCUCAACCUGGGAACGGCAUCCGGAACUGUCAAGCUAGAGUGCAGGAGAGGAAGGUAGAAUUCCCGGUGUAGCGGUGAAAUGCGUAGAGAUCGGGAGGAAUACCAGUGGCGAAGGCGGCCUUCUGGACUGACACUGACACUGAGGUGCGAAAGCGUGGGUAGCAAACAGGAUUAGAUACCCUGGUAGUC